Long non-coding RNA from Halichondria panicea, 1381 nucleotides. RefSeq lists it as uncharacterized. NCBI's taxonomy places the organism in Eukaryota, Metazoa, Porifera, Demospongiae, Suberitida, Halichondriidae. The transcript has 2 exons. The record is from RefSeq and is a predicted model, not a curated record.
ACCAUUCACACAUAAAAUGUGCUGAGUCACUUUGUAGUACAAUGGCUACACAUAAAAUCGAAGUGCAGGUGUCCUUAAUUGUAUUCAUUAUUGACCAAACAUAGGCUCUGGAUAACGAACCUUGACGCUCUUUGACGUCAUCAUGAUUAUAAGGAAACAUCGAGAAGCUCGAGAAGUAACACAUGAUGGCUAUGAAUAAUUAUAUGCAUAUACAUAUACGUACGUUACUGUGCCGUCUAUAUAGCUUGCUUACCCUGAUGCUUAGUUUGAGUGAGGACUAACUCUAGCUAGCAUCUGGCUCUCAUUGCGUUUGUUAUAUGUCUAUGUGGGCAUACUAUUAUCGAAAUUAGAACAUUGCAAUGGAUACCAAUAACGACUCCAUGUAUACUCCAGGGGCUAAGCAGAUAGAGGUUGAAAACAAAAGGCUGGCCAGCUCAACUGAACGGGUGAAAAAAAAUUUCAAACAACAUUUGAUGGAUAUUCUGUGUCUGAUUAUGCUUCAAGACCUUCCUGCAAUAAAAAGCUUUCUUCUGGCAAACACAGUCCGGCAUCGGAUUCCUCCCAAACAACAAUCUCGGAUCCCAAAAGCUGAUUAUAAGGAAUUGCAGCAAAUUGCUUCGAAGGCGUUUGAAUCGUUUUUUAGUCCAGUAUUCCUCGAUGAAGUACCCCACCACCUACCCGAUAAGAUUAACAACAAGGAUAUCCUGUCAAAAUUAGCUGAUAUGAGAACCAUGGUCCAAGAUUACUUCAAUGGGACGGGAAGAGUGAUUAUUGAUCGAACAAAGAAGAAAAUUGUUAUCGUCUUUGAUUCAUCGUACAUGUACGAUAAUAUUCCAGACCGUCAAUUAGAAGAAUUGUAUACGACAGCUCUAGCAGCAACGGGUGAGAUUUAUGACACGAAUAUGACAGUUGGCCAUUGCGACAUUAGAACAGCUCUCAUUAUGAGACGAAGCUUGUUUGAAAGGCCGAUUGAGGAAUCACUAGGAGAAAACGAUGACAUGGAAGAGCUGGUAACAAUGGGACGAGGCAGUGGGAGGAAAAGACGAAAAUUUAAUAACACCACGAAUACUUAUAUAGGCUCCGAAUCUGGCUACACAAUGAACUUUGUGUCUCAAGCCGAAGCCGAAGCCGAAGCCGAAGCCGAAGCUGAAAUCGUAGUCUAAGAAUUUUAUGUUGGGUUUUUCCUCACAUUUGCAUGCAUGGAGGUUUUUUCCCUGCUUUAUGUUGAGCCUCAUAAAGCAAAAUGUUCUGUAUAAUGCUAAUUUGUGAUGGCUAUAGUCUAGAUUAGUUGUAUAUCAUGCAGAAGCUCCGGCUGAUUGAUAUUAGUUUGUGUAUGCAAUGACCCGAAAAAUUUAAUCAAAAUAUGAAAAACUCUCUAAAA